AACGAACGCUGGCGGCAUGCCUAACACAUGCAAGUCGAACGAUGCUUUCGGGCAUAGUGGCGCACGGGUGCGUAACGCGUGGGAAUCUGCCCUUGGGUUCGGAAUAACAGUGAGAAAUUGCUGCUAAUACCGGAUGAUGUCUUCGGACCAAAGAUUUAUCGCCCAGGGAUGAGCCCGCGUAGGAUUAGCUAGUUGGUGGGGUAAUGGCCUACCAAGGCGACGAUCCUUAGCUGGUCUGAGAGGAUGAUCAGCCACACUGGGACUGAGACACGGCCCAGACUCCUACGGGAGGCAGCAGUGGGGAAUAUUGGACAAUGGGCGCAAGCCUGAUCCAGCAAUGCCGCGUGAGUGAUGAAGGCCUUAGGGUUGUAAAGCUCUUUUACCCGGGAUGAUAAUGGCAGUACCGGGAGAAUAAGCUCCGGCUAACUCCGUG
RNAcentral lists this ribosomal RNA (433 nucleotides) under uncultured bacterium. Its description in RNAcentral is "partial 16S ribosomal RNA". It matches the Rfam family "Bacterial small subunit ribosomal RNA", at positions 29 to 507 of the family's 1533-position model. The record is from RNAcentral.